AUGAUGUUUCCGAAAAACCAGCACAAUCCAAAGAGACAAAUGGAAACCAGUCAACUGAUAUUGAUAGUACAUUGGCCAACUUCCUAGCGGAGAUCGAUGCCAUAACAGCUCCUCAGCCUGCAGCUCCUGUAGGAGCUUCUGCUCCACCUCCAACUCCACCUCGACCAGAGCCAAAGGAAGCAGCAACAUCUACCCUUUCUUCUUCUACUUCAAAUGGAACAGACUCCACCCAAACAUCUGGAUGGCAAUAUGAUACUCAGUGUUCACUGGCAGGAGGUAAACUUGAUCCUUUGAUUUUUAAAGAAAAGUAAAAUCCUUAAAGGGAUUCUAGGCGUUCACUUUUCUGGUUUGUUUGUUUGGAGAUGGAAUCUCGCUCUGUCGCCCAGGCUGGAGUGCAGUGGAGCGAUCUUGGCUCACUCCAACCUCCACCUCCUGGGUUCAAGCAGUUCUUCU
RNAcentral lists this small RNA (453 nucleotides) under Pongo abelii (Sumatran orangutan). RNAcentral's name for it is "retained intron". Lineage: Eukaryota; Metazoa; Chordata; Mammalia; Primates; Hominidae. The record is from RNAcentral.